CCGGAUUUUCCAGCCCGGUUCACCCUAAAACGGACCUGAUUGAGCCGCGAAGAGAGGGGAAUUGCCGGCCAGAACCGAACCGGGACAGGACGCGGUUGUUGGAGGGAAGAGGAGAGGAAGCGUUUGGAGAGGGAGCUAAGCGGGGGUGUGGAUCGAAGGGUUAGGAGAGAUUGGGAGGAGGAACGAAGGGCCAUAAUCGAUCGGGAAAUUUUAGCUGCCAUUGAAGUGGG
This 230-nucleotide long non-coding RNA is filed under the name Vitis vinifera (wine grape). RNAcentral's name for it is "long non-coding RNA (VVIN_LNC002115)". The record is from RNAcentral. Lineage: Eukaryota; Viridiplantae; Streptophyta; Magnoliopsida; Vitales; Vitaceae.